Molecule: ribosomal RNA, 494 nt
Filed under: uncultured bacterium
Lineage: Bacteria
Description: bacterial SSU rRNA
Rfam family: Bacterial small subunit ribosomal RNA
Source: RNAcentral
CUAGGAUGAACGCUGGCGGCGUGCUUAACACAUGCAAGUCGAACGGAGUUUUUAACGGAAGUUUCGGAUGGAAGUUUAAGAACUUAGUGGCGGACGGGUGAGUAACGCGUGGGUAACCUGCCUCAUACAGGGGGAUAACAGUUAGAAAUGACUGCUAACACCGCAUAAUAUAGUGAAACCGCAUGAUUUUUGCUAUCAAAUAUUUAUAGGUAUGAGAUGGGCCCGCGUCUGAUUAGCUAGUUGGUGGGGUAAAAGCUUACCAAGGCGACGAUCAGUAGCCGGCUUGAGAGAGUGACCGGCCACAUUGGGACUGAGACACGGCCCAAACUCCUACGGGAGGCAGCAGUGGGGAAUAUUGGACAAUGGGGGAAACCCUGAUCCAGCGAACCGCCGCGUGAGUGAAGAAGUAUUUCGGUAUGUAAAGCUCUAUCAGCAGGGAAGAUAAUGACAGUACCUGACUAAGAAGCCCCGGCUAACUACGUGCCAGCCGCAGC